AUUCAAUCAGACAUAUGACGCUCUUCACACACACAGCAGACACAUGGUGGCAUAUCUUUACAAGUAAAGAGUCCACCCAGUCUGCGACAUGCUACACCCAUUACUGUUUACCGCCGCGGCUUUCAACAUCUCUGUCACCGUGAUCUACUGGCUCACCCUCCUCAACGAUCUCUAUGACAAGUGGAAGUCAGAGCCAGAAGACAUGCCCAAGAAGCCCACUGUUGCCCCGGCUGAAGGAGUCUGAACUGACUGAAAUGUAGUCAACCAAUGCGACCCAACCUGUAGCUUUGAAACUGAUUUGGUAAUUUCAUCUGGAGAAGGUUUGGAGCCACACUAAUUGAAAUAAAUGGACUGAAGCUGAAUCUGCAAAGGAACAAGAAAGACAACAUUUUUACAGGAUCUGUAUGAAAAGUGGAAGUCAGACCAAGAAUAUGUCAUCAAGGAGCCUGAACCCAAGAAGACUGAGGAAGUCUGAAUCAGUAUGGACCUGCCUGACUGAAAAGACUGUAUGUAAUUUCAUCUAGAUUAUAUCAGUCAACCAGGGCAUUCGUAAUGUAAUGUUUGUAAUUUUGUAAUUUCAUGUGGAGAAGAUUUGGUAUCUAUUGUUAAAUUCAAAUUAAUGGACUGAAGGGAAUCUGCAGAGGAAUGAGGAACAUAACACAAAAUAACAGGUCAUCAAACAUUUUAGCUGCCCAGCGCUUUUUUGGACAUUUCUUAUUUAAAAUCGAACGCAAGACUGUUUGCAUUACCCACGUAUAUAUAUGGACAUUCACAGUAAUAUUCACAUUAAUAUUCACAGCAUAAUGUACGCCUAUGUUUACUGCAGUUUUAUCCUCAGUAAUAAGCAGCUGAAGAGGAUUAUAGCACUGCAGGGACAAAGUUAUGGCAGCCAGUGGAAAAAGUGAGUGAGAGUGGAGGGAGGGAGGGAGGGAGGGACGGGGGGUGAACAUAGACGUGAUUCAGUCAGACGUCUGAAAAGACACUCAACAGUCACACAGCAGACAAACAGAGUGACAUAUAUUCAAGAGUGAAGAACCCAGCCAGUGUGCACCAUGACCCACCCGCUGCUCAUCAGCAUUUUGACCGUCAACACCUCUCUGGCUAUCUUCUACUGGGCCAUCCUCAUCAAUAACCUCUACCAAAUGUGGAGGCCAGACCACAGAUACACCCUGAAACAGCUCAACGAGUUUGAACAAGUCUGAUGCUGUGAGGACCAAACCGGCUGAAGUGGCUGCACAUAAUUUCAUCUAGGACUAGUCAACCAGGGCAAUCCAGCCUGUAGAGCUUCAGUGUCUGAUUUAAAAAAAAAAAAAAAAAAAAAUCAUCUGGACAAGUUUUGAUAUCCCUUGUUAAAUUCAAAUUUAUGGACUGAAAGGAAUCUGCAAAGGAACGAGGAGGGAAACAUUCUUACAGAGUCAUCAGUUUGCCCCUUGCACAAUUCUGGAGUUCACACACAAGCUAAACAACACAGCCGACGAGAAGUUUCGGCUCUCCAUUGCAAGACUGGAUUCUUGGCCCAAAACCAGUUCAAGAUGACUCUGAGGGAGGAAGCACAGAGAUAAAGGAGGAGCAGCGGGCAAGCAUUUCCUGUGUGCUGGUGGAGGAAGACAGAUUGAGGAUGGAGAAGGAGAGGGAGGGGGUGUUGCCAGGGCUGGGAGCUGGAAGCUGCCGUCCCUCUAUCGCCCCGCUAAGAAGCUCUAUCACUUCUUACCCGGGGGAAAAGAGAACAUCCACUCAUAGUGUGUCCUUCGCUUGUCCAGUGACCCCUUACGUCACUUCCCUCUGAGUUUUUCAAUGCCAUUUUCUCACACAAAUCACUCAGUCCGUUUUUUUGCCACCAUUUCAAUUUCCCAUGAGCGCAAACAUACAUGUCCCCUGUUUAUUGUAGUGAUGCUUCAGAAAAGGCACUUGAUAUACUGGAAAUGUUCAGCACUUUAAAUUUGUCCUUGUUUUACUUCAAGAGAUGUAAUUGUUCCCUUACUUUGUAAAAUAUUUUGUAAAUUAAUUAUUCCAGUCAUGUUCCAGUACUUUAUUUUUUCACUCUGCACAAUUUCUCAAGAAUUUCCCACAAAUGAUAUUACAAACUAAUGAUAGUUUUCAGAAAUGCUUGUCUGGUCACUGUUACAACCACAGCAGUCACAGUCUGUUAUCUGGCAGGAGCACUGAUGUUUUUCUCAUAGUACUUCUGCAUAAAUGCCACCUGAGCCUGAGAUGUAAGAAAAAAAGUGCAUUUGCGUAUAGACAGUGUAAAAUUUAAUGUUUUGUGGCAGUGAACUGAGUUCAGUUCACUGUCAUUUCAACAGGGUGGGGAUUACAAGAAAAGGCUGUCAGAUCUUUCCAAGAAAAUAUCAAGAAAAUCGGAAUAAAUUGCAAAUGAAUCGCAAUUUCUAUUUACUUAUUGGUCAGACUGAGAGUGGACUGUCCCCCGCUGAGCUGUAUAUCCAACGCAACAAACAAAGCCGUUAUUUUCCCAAUGCAUCACACGUGUUACUGUAAUCUGUCCAUCAAGUACAAGUACAUGUUUUCCUGUUCUGCUGUUGGAUUAAGCUUGUGUCUAAUAAAGGACUGAACAACA
This is a long non-coding RNA of Myripristis murdjan (pinecone soldierfish), 2575 nucleotides long. RefSeq lists it as uncharacterized. The transcript has 4 exons. The record is from RefSeq and is a predicted model, not a curated record. Lineage: Eukaryota; Metazoa; Chordata; Actinopteri; Holocentriformes; Holocentridae.